CUAUUAUGAAGUAGCACUUUAUCGAAUUGAUUAUAACCAACACGCCUGACAUAAAAAAAUUUUUUUUACCAAACAUUCGGACAUACAAAGUUGGAAAACUUGUCUGCCAAUACCCUUAAAAAAUUAGGAUUAUGUGAAGAUCAUUUCGUUAUUACAUCAUAACGAAGAACGUGUAAGCGCGACGAGAGAAAGAGGAAAGCAAAAUCGUAAGCUCGUCGCGUGACAGUCGCGUGGUCUGUCAUUGAUGAGACAAAG
Camponotus floridanus (Florida carpenter ant) is the source of this 255-nucleotide long non-coding RNA. RefSeq lists it as uncharacterized. The transcript is spliced from 2 exons. Lineage: Eukaryota; Metazoa; Arthropoda; Insecta; Hymenoptera; Formicidae. The record is from RefSeq and is a predicted model, not a curated record.